CUCUCUGCUCUGUACUUUUCCCCUCUCUGGAAUAUGUUGAGGCCUGUUGCUUCAAGCAGUCACGUUUGUUUUUCAUUUGCUGCCUAAUCUGUUCAGAACUUUAAGUAAAUUAAACUUUUUAUUCUUUCUCUUGCAAACGUCUCAGAGUAAAGUUAUUGAGACUGUAAGUGCCGGUUACUGAGAAAAGAGGUGGGCUAAUCAACCGCAGAAGCCUGUGCUGCAGGGCCAGAAGACCAAGCAGUCGUAAGAUCGAAUCCACGCGACGGAGUGAGCUCCCGUCGCUUGUCCCAGCUCCUGAUCUCAGAGUUAAGUUAUCGAGACUGCAAGUGCUGGUUACUGAGAAAAGAGGUGGGCUAAUCUGGAGAACCUGAAGCUAUCCUUCUUUAAAAAUCUCUGCACUGUGUAACUAGAAAAAUUUAACCAAAAAUUCAAAGCUCUCCAACAGGAGCAACUUUUAUCUUCUAAGCAGGGUUUUCUUCAUCCAUUUUUGUAUGGGCAGUCAUGUGAUCUCUGAUCUGGAGAACCUGAAGCUAUCCUGCUUUAAAAAUCUCUGCACUGUGUAACUAGAAGAAUUUAACCGAAAAUUCAAAGCUCUGCAACAGGAGCAACUUUUAUCUUCUAAGCAGGGUUUUCUUCAUCCAUUUUUGUAUGGGCAGUCAUGUGAUCACUGAGUUUAAGACGGGAUUGGAGAGCCUGUAGCAAUCCGGAUAUUACUGGACUGCAACCAAUGGCGGAUUAUCAUGUAGUCGAAAACAAUGGGAAAGUGUCAGACUGGAGAAAGCUGUCUCAAGUACCCGUGUAUCUGGCAACCCUAAUUAUGGUGGAUUAUGUUGCUGAUGGAGAGAGAUAGUUGGGAACAAGGGAUAGGUAAGGAAUGUGGUUAAGGUCUCUUUCAGAAGUAGGUAAGUUGGGGGCCUCCUGAGGGAUGGUUUCUGAUAUCUCUUUUAAUAUUGUUUUCAGAAUCCUACAAUUUUAGGCUUUGUAAGCAUCAAGCCUUCAGUAUGCAGGGGUAAAUCUGAAAAUAUGAUGGCAAUAGAGGCCCACACUUCAGAAACAAAGGGAAACCCAUAGACAUUUUUAUCUCAGCCUUGGGGGCUUUGCACAAGCAUCACAUCGCAGUCCCCAAACAGGUUCCCCACAAAAGCAUCUGCCCAUGGUGGCUCGGAAUGCAUUCUGUCCAUGAAAAUGACAGGAAAUGAUUUA
This 1203-nucleotide long non-coding RNA is filed under the name Pogona vitticeps (central bearded dragon). RNAcentral describes it as "lncRNA (ENSPVIG00000002262.1)". The record is from RNAcentral. Lineage: Eukaryota; Metazoa; Chordata; Lepidosauria; Squamata; Agamidae.